GACGAGCGCUGGCGGCGUGCUUAACACAUGCAAGUCGAACGAUGAAGCUGGAGCUUGCUCCGGUGGAUUAGUGGCGAACGGGUGAGUAACACGUGAGCAAUCUGCCCUUGACUCUGGGAUAACUGCGGGAAACUGUAGCUAAUACCGGAUACUUUCACUGGAAGGCAUCUUCUGGUGAAGAAAGAAUUUCGGUCAAGGAUGAGCUCGCGGCCUAUCAGCUUGUUGGUGAGGUAACGGCUCACCAAGGCGACGACGGGUAGCCGGCCUGAGAGGGUGACCGGCCACACUGGGACUGAGACGCGGCCCAGACUCCUACGGGGGGCAGCAGUGGGGAAUAUUGCACUAUGGGCGCAAGCCUGAUGCAGCAACGCCGCGUGAGGGAUGAAGGCCUUCGGGUUGUAAACCUCUUUUAGCAGGGAAGAAGCGGAAGUGACGGUACCUGCAGAAAAAGCACCGGCUAACUACGUGCCAGCCGCCGCAGUAA
RNAcentral lists this ribosomal RNA (484 nucleotides) under uncultured bacterium. Its description in RNAcentral is "partial 16S ribosomal RNA". It matches the Rfam family "Bacterial small subunit ribosomal RNA", at positions 28 to 523 of the family's 1533-position model. The record is from RNAcentral.